RNAcentral lists this long non-coding RNA (1393 nucleotides) under Olea europaea subsp. europaea. Lineage: Eukaryota; Viridiplantae; Streptophyta; Magnoliopsida; Lamiales; Oleaceae. The record is from RNAcentral.
CUUUGAUGAUGGAAAUGUCUGGACGGCCGACUGUCAAUGAAUCUGAUUUUUCCUUUCCAAACCGUCGACAAAGAGAAAGGAAGAUGGAGGGAUAUUUUUGAAAAAGUGUCUUUAAAUUGUGUUUUCAUUUUUUUUUAAAUCAGUCAAAGGUCAAGGUGAAAAAAAGGGUGGUCAAAAGACCAUUUUCACUUGUUUCCUCUAUUUUCUCUCUCAUUGAAUCACGUCUCCACCUCUUUUCUGGUCGAUUCAUUACUAUUUUUUUCACCUCUUCCUGUUGAUUUUACCACAGAUUCAUCCCCAAGAUUUCCAUCUAUUCUCUGUUGAUUUUACCACAUGUUCAUUCCCAAGAUUUCCAUUUAUUUUUGUUUAUUAUAUUCUUCUAUAUGUUCUACAGAUUCCAUGUGAAAUUUUGGAAUAAACUGUUAGCAUCGACGAUUUGAAUCAGUGGAGAAUCUGGAGAUUGUUUCUCCUUCACUUCAUUAAUAAAGUAUUUUUUUUUUUUUUUUUUUUUAAAUUGGAUCGUCGCAAUAGAGGACCCUUUGCAAAUCUGUGCUUCAUUGCUUUUCUCCACAUAUUUUCCCCUUUAUUAUGUGUGUUUUUGCAGUGUGACUUGAUCUUGUAAUAGUGUCAUUUAUGGGAUUAAUUUUAUUUUUUUAGAUGAUUAUUCUUGUAUUUUGACAAAUAUUUAUUUUGAGACAAAAGAAAUUAUGAAGUAUUUUAAAGUCUUGUGGUUUCUUAUUGAUAGGGGUGUUUGAUUUUGUUGGUAAUUAUUAAAAACUGUCGUGACUAUAGUCACUAUACAAGAUUUUUUUAUAUAUUCAAUGGCUAUCUCGUGUUUCAAUCCGUUUCAACCGUGCAGGUCGAAGAGCAAAUCUUUAUUAAUUUCUUCUACUUCGAGAACACAGUUAAGCAAUGAUGCAAAUAAUAUGGAGAGGAAGAGAUUUGACAGUUUGGAAUCUUGGUCAAUGAUAUUGGAUUCUGAGAAUGUUGAGACUUGGGAAACAUAUGAAGAUCAAGAGGAAUGGACGGCUGAUCUUUCUCAAUUAUUUAUAGGCAAUAAGUUUGCUUCUAGUGCACAUAGUUGAAUUUACAGAGGAAUUCAUAAGCAGAGAGCAGUUGCUGUAAAAAUGGUGAGAAUUCCAACUCAUAAUGAGGAAGCUAAAACUUUACUUGAACAACAAUUCAAGUCGGAAGUUGCCCUUCUUUCGUGUCUUUAUCAUCCCAAUAUAGUGCAGUUAGAUUUCCUUAUAUCUUUGUGCAGGGCCGGUUAUCUGAUUUUCGGGGCCUGAGACGAACUUAAAAAAUUAGGCCCCCAAAAUAAGUAUAAAUGCAAAAUUUAAUCGUGUAUUAUGCAACAUAUUGCUAAUCGAGAACUCCAAACUCAUAUUUAGGA